AAUGAAGUGCCUGAAAAAAGGACUAUCUUGAUAGGAUAAAUUAUGCAAAAAAACUUGCCUUCAUUA
RNAcentral lists this transfer RNA (66 nucleotides) under Hydrochus sp. BMNH1425167. RNAcentral's name for it is "tRNA-Ile". Lineage: Eukaryota; Metazoa; Arthropoda; Insecta; Coleoptera; Hydrochidae. The record is from RNAcentral.